RNAcentral lists this transfer RNA (85 nucleotides) under Pseudenhygromyxa salsuginis. RNAcentral describes it as "tRNA-Ser". It matches the Rfam family "tRNA". From Rfam's summary of the family: Transfer RNA (tRNA) molecules are approximately 80 nucleotides in length. Their secondary structure includes four short double-helical elements and three loops (D, anti-codon, and T loops). Lineage: Bacteria; Pseudomonadati; Myxococcota; Nannocystales; Nannocystaceae. RNAcentral also lists the same sequence under 3 other names. The record is from RNAcentral.
GGAGAGGUGUCCGAGUGGUCGAAGGUGCAUGAUUGGAAAUCAUGUGUGGGGAAACCCACCGCGGGUUCGAAUCCCGCCCUCUCCG